Molecule: long non-coding RNA, 622 nt
Organism: Mauremys reevesii (Reeves's turtle)
Lineage: Eukaryota; Metazoa; Chordata; Testudines; Geoemydidae
Exons: 4
Source: RefSeq, a predicted model, not a curated record
CGUCACAACUGGCACCAGCUGGCAUCCUUGUUCGCUGGCCCAAGAUCGAACGAGCCAUGAAGGCUGAAUGAUGUUCCCAGCCCUGAAAGCAGCUGUAAAUCUGCAAUGGAAUUACUCCAAUGAUGCCAAGAAGUCACAUGACCACAUCACGAAAGCCAUCCCCACCACCAGAUGUGGUAGCUGCCAACUUGCCACUCUUGUGAACACUAUGAGCAGAGGGGCCCACGGUUUAAUGGGCCAUGAAUUAACUUCAUAGUCUUAGAGGUGUCCAAGGCAUUGGGCCCUCCAAUGCUGAGAAGAUCUGCGGUUUCAGGAGAGACUCAGACAAGCCUGGAUGUGCCUGCAGCAGAAAUGGAAGCAUCAAACCAUUAAAUACUAGGGUGCUUACUUUAUGCUGCGCCUUCUGAGGUGACUGGCUGGCUGUUUAUGGCCGAGCUAUCAGACGGUACCUUUUCCUGGAGGUCGAGCUACUUACACUUUCCAGCAGGGUGAAUGUUAAAAGCAAAGGCUCUUGGCCACAUAGGGAACAAUCUGAUGAUUGGGCUGAUACCUCUGAAGACAGGGAGGGCUGCUGACUCACAGGGCUCAACCAGACCGCUGAAUCCAACCCAACCCAGUGUCA